UUAAGCAUGCAAGUCGGACGGUAGUACAGAGCUUGCUCUGUAUGAGAGUGGCGAACGGGUGAGUAACACGUAGGUGAUCUACCUUUGGAUUGGGGAUAGCCCAUGGAAACAUGGGGUAAUACCGAAUAAAGCGGUUGAAAUAGAAAUCAACUGUGAAAGGCGCUUAGGCGCCGUCUGAAGAUGAGCCUGCGGCUUAUUAGCUAGUUGGUAGGGUAACGGCCUACCAAGGCGACGAUAAGUAGCCGGCCUGAGAGGGUGGACGGCCACACUGGGACUGAGACACGGCCCAGACUCCUACGGGAGGCAGCAGCUAAGAAUCUUCCGCAAUGGGCGAAAGCCUGACGGAGCGGCGCCGCGUGGGUGAAGAAGGCCGAAAGGUUGUAAAGCCCUUUUCUCGCAGAAGAAUAAGGGCAGGAGGGAAUGCCUGUCUGAUGACGUUAGGUGAGGAAUAAGCCCCGGCCAAUUACGUGCCAGCAGCAGCGGUAAUACAGAGACCUCAAGCGUUAUCCGGAUUUACUGGGCGUAAAGCGUCUGUAGGGGGUUUAUUAAGUUCCAAGUAAAAUUUCAAGGCUCAACUUUGAAUUCGCUUGGAAAACUAAUAAACUGGAGUCUAGCAGAGGUGCAUGGAACUUGUGGUGUAGGAGUGAAAUCCGUUGAUAUCACAAGGAACACCAAAGGCGAAGGCAUUGCACUGGGCUAGCACUGACCCUGAGAGACGAAAGCGUGGGGAGCAAAACGGAUUAGAUACCCGUGUAGUCCACGCCCUAAACGAUGAAUGCUAAAUGUUUGGGGAUUCGACCCCCUGGGUGUUACAGCUAACGCGUUAAGCAUUCCGCCUGGGAAGUACGGCCGCAAGGCUAAAACUCAAAGGAAUAGACGGGGAUCCGCACAAGCGGUGGAGCGUCUGGUUUAAUUCGACAGUAAGCGUGGUACCUCACCAGGGUUUGACAUCCCUUGACAGCCUUGGAAACAAGGUUUCCUUCGGGCAAGGUGACAGGUGCUGCAUGGUCGUCGUCAGUUCGUGCCGUGAGGUGUUCCGUUAAGUCGGGAAGCGAACGAAACCCCUAUUGCAUGUUACAAUUUCUCAUGCAAGACUGCCCGGAUAUACUGGGAGGAAGGUGGGGAUGACGUCAGAUCUGCAUGGUCCUUAUACCCUGGGCGACACAGGCGCUACAAUGGCAGAGACAAAGGGUUGCAAAACCGCAAGGUGAAGCUAAUCCCAAAAACUUUGUCUAAGUUCGGAUUGAAGGCUGCAAUUCGCCUUCAUGAAGCUGGAAUCGCUAGUAAUCGUGAAUCAGCCACGUCACGGUGAAUAUGUUCCCGGAUCUUGUACUCACCGCCCGUCACACCAAGAGAGUUGUAGCUCCCGAA
This 1371-nucleotide ribosomal RNA is filed under the name uncultured organism. RNAcentral's name for it is "partial 16S ribosomal RNA". It matches the Rfam family "Bacterial small subunit ribosomal RNA", at positions 49 to 1424 of the family's 1533-position model. The record is from RNAcentral.